RNAcentral lists this long non-coding RNA (535 nucleotides) under Daucus carota (carrot). Its description in RNAcentral is "long non-coding RNA (DCAR_LNC005838)". The record is from RNAcentral. Lineage: Eukaryota; Viridiplantae; Streptophyta; Magnoliopsida; Apiales; Apiaceae.
UUGCAUAUACUUCCAGCUUUUUCUAGGUUCCUUGGUUUAACCGUCGGAGCCUUUCAUCUGAAGUUCCAUGCUAGUUCUAUCCGAGGUUCGUUUUUAACUUGCAUUCUUGUUUUGUGAUAGAGUCUAGGUUAUUAGCAAAUCAUUUGCUUCUGUUUUUAUAUAUUGAGCAUCUUGCCUGGAAGCCGUAAGGCGUAAGUUGGGCAUUGAUGGUGUGACAACGGCGUAUUGGUGUAUCUUCUCUGAGAUAUUAUGAUGAGAAUGUUUAGGAUUGUUUUCUGGUUAGGAAGCCAAGGGCACUAGGAGACCAACAGAAAGCAGUUUUCUCGACAACUAUGGACUCAAUUUCUGUUUCCUGAAUCCUGAGUAACAGUUGGUAUUAUUGUUGCAAGCUUUUGGAGGGGAGCUGACACACUACCUGGGCAUUUCAGUUAUGCUCUUCCCCUACCAUUUCUCUUUUCUUGUUGCUGUGUAGCCGCUGAUCAAACACUCUAACUUCUGCGCUAUUCAAGAAAUUGUAUAUUCUGAAGGGUCCUGU